GAUGAACGCUGGCGGCGUGCCUAACACAUGCAAGUCGAACGAAGCAAUAAAGACGGAGAUUCGUCAAAGCCUUUAUUGACUUAGUGGCGGACGGGUGAGUAACGCGUGAGCAACCUGCCUUUCAGAGGGGGACAGCAGUUGGAAACGACUGCUAAUACCGCAUAAGCGCACAGGGCCGCAUGGCCCGGUGUGAAAAACUCCGGUGGUAUAAGAUGGACCCGCGUCUGAUUAGCUGGUUGGUGGGGUAACGGCCCACCAAGGCGACGAUCAGUAGCCGGCCUGAGAGGGUGAACGGCCACAUUGGGACUGAGACACGGCCCAG
RNAcentral lists this ribosomal RNA (322 nucleotides) under uncultured bacterium. RNAcentral describes it as "bacterial SSU rRNA". It matches the Rfam family "Bacterial small subunit ribosomal RNA", at positions 28 to 334 of the family's 1533-position model. The record is from RNAcentral.